Molecule: ribosomal RNA, 498 nt
Filed under: uncultured bacterium
Lineage: Bacteria
Description: partial 16S ribosomal RNA
Rfam family: Bacterial small subunit ribosomal RNA
Source: RNAcentral
ACUCAAAUGAAUAGACGGGGACCCGCACAAGCGGUGGAGCAUGUGGUUUAAUUCGACGCAACGCGAAGAACCUUACCUGGACUAGAAUGUGAGGGAAGGUUGGGUUAUACCAACCGUCCGGGAAACCGGACCCAAAACAAGGUGCUGCAUGGCUGUCGUCAGCUCGUGUCGUGAGAUGUUGGGUUAAGUCCCGCAACGAGCGCAACCCUUAUCAACAGUUGCCAUCAUUAAGUUGGGAACUCUGUUGAGACUGCCGUUGAUAAAACGGAGGAAGGUGGGGAUGAUGUCAAGUCAUCAUGGCCUUUAUGUUCAGGGCUACACACGUGCUACAAUGGCCGGUACAAAACGUCGCAAUCUCGCAAGAGGGAGCUAAUCGCUAAAACCGGUCUCAGUUCGGAUUGGAGUCUGCAACUCGACUCCAUGAAGUUGGAAUCGCUAGUAAUCGCAAAUCAGCAUGUUGCGGUGAAUACGUUCCCGGGUCUUGCACACACCGCCCGU